RNAcentral lists this ribosomal RNA (709 nucleotides) under uncultured bacterium. Its description in RNAcentral is "bacterial SSU rRNA". It matches the Rfam family "Bacterial small subunit ribosomal RNA", at positions 94 to 823 of the family's 1533-position model. The record is from RNAcentral.
AGCGGCGGACGGGUGAGUAACGCGUGGGUAGCCUGCCCUGUACACACGGAUAACAUACCGAAAGGUAUGCUAAUACGAGAUAAUAUGCUUUUAUCGCAUGGUAGAAGUAUCAAAGCUCCGGCGGUACAGGAUGGACCCGCGUCUGAUUAGCUAGUUGAUAAGGUAACGGCUUACCAAGGCGACGAUCAGUAGCCGACCUGAGAGGGUGAUCGGCCACAUUGGAACUGAGACACGGUCCAAACUCCUACGGGAGGCAGCAGUGGGGAAUAUUGCACAAUGGGCGAAAGCCUGAUGCAGCAACGCCGCGUGAGCGAUGAAGGCCUUCGGGUCGUAAAGCUCUGUCCUCAAGGAAGAUAAUGACGGUACUUGAGGAGGAAGCCCCGGCUAACUACGUGCCAGCAGCCGCGGUAAUACGUAGGGGGCCAGCGUUAUCCGGAAUUACUGGGCGUAAGGGUGCGUAGGUGGUUUCUUAAGUCAGAGGUGAAAGGCUACGGCUCAACCGUAGUAAGCCUUUGAAACUGGGAAACUUGAGUGCAGGAGAGGAGAGUGGAAUUCCUAGUGUAGCGGUGAAAUGCGUAGAUAUUAGGAGGAACACCAGUUGCGAAGGCGGCUCUCUGGACUGUAACUGACACUGAGGCACGAAAGCGUGGGGAGCAAACAGGAUUAGAUACCCUGGUAGUCCACGCCGUAAACGAUGAGUACUAGCUGU